This 218-nucleotide unclassified non-coding RNA is filed under the name Hevea brasiliensis (rubber tree). The record is from RNAcentral. Lineage: Eukaryota; Viridiplantae; Streptophyta; Magnoliopsida; Malpighiales; Euphorbiaceae.
GAAAGCUGGACCUUGGUGCUCAGGUAGAUACUUGAGGUACAGUAAUUACUCCAAGAAAUUUGCUCCUUUAGUGCAUUACUAUUCCAAUAAUGGCUCUAUCAGGGCGUGCUGAGUUUAAUAGUGUAUGCAACAGCCACACCAACAAGUGAACAGAAAGCUGGAACCAGACCCAAACCAUAUCUUGUGACUAAAAUAUAAUCUAUGGAAAGGAAAUUCUG